Molecule: RNase P RNA, 316 nt
Filed under: Thermofilum sp.
Lineage: Archaea; Thermoproteati; Thermoproteota; Thermoprotei; Thermofilales; Thermofilaceae
Description: RNase P RNA component
Rfam family: Archaeal RNase P
About the family: Ribonuclease P (RNase P) is a ubiquitous endoribonuclease, found in archaea, bacteria and eukarya as well as chloroplasts and mitochondria. Its best characterised activity is the generation of mature 5'-ends of tRNAs by cleaving the 5'-leader elements of precursor-tRNAs.
Source: RNAcentral
GUCAGCCGGUGGGCGGGCGUCGGGCCAGCUCCGGCAACGGGCUAGCCUGAGGAACCCCCUCCACUGACCGUGGUCCCACGACCGCUGCGAAGCGGUCUGGCGGAAGCCAGGGCUCCGGCUCAGAGACGGUACCUCCCUCAGCUCGAUGAACAUGAUACUGCCCUUAUUAGGGCCGUUGAAGAGGUUGAGGGUGAGGUUGAAACGGCCGUCCCGUGGGCUUAGGGCCAAAUAGGAGCCUAUGAGGGGCCACGCCGAGGCUCGGGUGGGCCCUUAGAUGAAUCCCGCUAGAACAAAAGGAGGGGUAUGGCCGGCUGAC